GACGAACCGUGCGAACGUUGUUCGGAAUCACUGGGCUUAAAGGGCGCGUAGGCGGGCAUGCAAGUCGAAGGUGAAAGCCCACAGCUCAACUGUGGAAGUGCCCCCGAUACUGCAUGUCUGGAGGGAGGUAGGGGCGUGCGGAACUUCCGGUGGAGCGGUGAAAUGCGUAGAUAUCGGAAGGAACACCGGUGGCGAAAGCGGCACGCUGGACCUCUACUGACGCUGAGGCGCGAAAGCCAGGGGAGCAAACGGG
RNAcentral lists this ribosomal RNA (253 nucleotides) under uncultured bacterium. RNAcentral describes it as "partial 16S ribosomal RNA". It matches the Rfam family "Bacterial small subunit ribosomal RNA", at positions 524 to 776 of the family's 1533-position model. The record is from RNAcentral.